This 478-nucleotide ribosomal RNA is filed under the name uncultured bacterium. RNAcentral's name for it is "partial 16S ribosomal RNA". It matches the Rfam family "Bacterial small subunit ribosomal RNA", at positions 28 to 523 of the family's 1533-position model. The record is from RNAcentral.
GACGAACGCUGGCGGCGUGCUUAACACAUGCAAGUCGAACGGUAAGGCCCUUCGGGGUACACGAGUGGCGAACGGGUGAGUAACACGUGGGUGAUCUGCCCUGCACUUCGGGAUAAGCCUGGGAAACUGGGUCUAAUACCGGAUAGGACCCUGGGAUGCAUGUCCUGGGGUGGAAAGCUUUUGCGGUGUGGGAUGGGCCCGCGGCCUAUCAGCUUGUUGGUGGGGUGAUGGCCUACCAAGGCGACGACGGGUAGCCGGCCUGAGAGGGUGACCGGCCGCACUGGGACUGGGAUACGGCCCAGACUCCUACGGGAGGCAGGAGUGGGGAAUAUUGCACAAUGGGCGCAAGCCUGAUGCAGCGACGCCGCGUGAGGGAUGACGGCCUUCGGGUUGUAAACCUCUUUCAGCACCGACGAAGCGCAAGUGACGGUAGGUGCAGAAGAAGGACCGGCCAACUACGUGCCAGCAGCCGCCGCCG